Molecule: ribosomal RNA, 309 nt
Filed under: Triticum aestivum (bread wheat)
Lineage: Eukaryota; Viridiplantae; Streptophyta; Magnoliopsida; Poales; Poaceae
Description: partial small subunit ribosomal RNA
Source: RNAcentral
AUGCGCCAGAAUUGUGUUGCUGCAAUGGCUUUAAGGGUCCCUCAGGAUAAAGCUUUCAAAAACCAGAUUUUGUGCAGCAGAUUAUUGAAACCCAAUGUAAGAGAGGUGAUGGUAGCUAGCUUGUAUAGAUUGAUCUCUCUCACGAGUAGCAAUAGAGUACUACCUCCCUCCUGGUUUAUAGGUCCCCUUUGUAGUUUGUGCCAAAUUUUGACUAAAGAUUUAACUAACAAAAUGUUAAUGCAUGUCAAGAAAAAUUAUCUCAUUGGAUUCGUAUUUGAACAUAGUUUUCAAAAAUAUAAUGUUUGGUGA